AUGGAAAGACGGUUUAYGCUGUCACUUAUAGAUGGGCCCGCGGCGCAUUAGCUAGUUGGUGAGGUAAUGGCUCACCAAGGCGACGAUGCGUAGCCSACCUGAGAGGGUGRKCGGCCACACUGGGACUGARACMCGGCCCARACUCCYACGGGRGGCAGCAGKAGGGAAUCUUCCGCAAUGGACGAAAGUCUGACGGAGCAACSCCSCGKGAACGAAGAAGGCCUUCGGGUCGUAAAGUUYUGUUGUUAGGGAAGAACAAGUACYAGAKURACUGCKGGUACCUUGACGGUACCUAACCAGAAAGCCACGGCUAACUACGUGCCAGCAGCCGCGGUAAUACGKAGGUGGCAAGCGUUGUCCGGAAUUAUUGGGCGUAAAGCGCGCGCAGGUGGUUCCUUAAGUCUGAUGUGAAAGCCCACGGCUCAACCGUGGAGGGUCAUUGGAAACUGGGGAACUUGAGUGCAGAAGAGGAAAGUGGAAUUCCAAGUGUAGCGGWGAAAUGCGUAGAGAUUUGGAGGAACACCAGUGGCGAAGGCGACUUUCUGGUCUGUAACUGAYACUGAGGCGCGAAAGCGUGGGGAGCAAACAGGAUUAGAYACYSUGGUAGUCCACGCCGUAAACGAUGAGUGCUAAGUGUUAGAGGGUUUCCG
Molecule: ribosomal RNA, 650 nt
Filed under: Bacillus sp. 71endo
Lineage: Bacteria; Bacillati; Bacillota; Bacilli; Caryophanales; Bacillaceae
Description: partial 16S ribosomal RNA
Rfam family: Bacterial small subunit ribosomal RNA
Source: RNAcentral